This 465-nucleotide ribosomal RNA is filed under the name Vreelandella stevensii. RNAcentral describes it as "partial 16S ribosomal RNA". It matches the Rfam family "Bacterial small subunit ribosomal RNA", at positions 338 to 795 of the family's 1533-position model. The record is from RNAcentral. Lineage: Bacteria; Pseudomonadati; Pseudomonadota; Gammaproteobacteria; Oceanospirillales; Halomonadaceae.
CCUACGGGAGGCUGUAGUGGGGAAUAUUGGACAAUGGGCGAAAGCCUGAUCCAGCCAUGCCGCGUGUGUGAAGAAGGCCUUCGGGUUGUAAAGCACUUUCAGUGGGGAAGAAAGCCUUGGGGCUAAUACCCUCGAGGAAGGACAUCACCCACAGAAGAAGCACCGGCUAACUCCGUGCCAGCAGCCGCGGUAAUACGGAGGGUGCGAGCGUUAAUCGGAAUUACUGGGCGUAAAGCGCGCGUAGGCGGUCUGAUAAGCCGGUUGUGAAAGCCCCGGGCUCAACCUGGGAACGGCAUCCGGAACUGUCAGGCUAGAGUGCAGGAGAGGAAGGUAGAAUUCCCGGUGUAGCGGUGAAAUGCGUAGAGAUCGGGAGGAAUACCAGUGGCGAAGGCGGCCUUCUGGACUGACACUGACGCUGAGGUGCGAAAGCGUGGGUAGCAAACAGGAUUAGAUACCCCGGUAGUC